UCUCAAUGUAAGUGAAUUUUUGUUUCCAAGCCAGUAAUAAUUGCACCAUAUGUGUCUUUCUUUCUUUCUAGAUUUUCUUUUCUCCCCCCAUUUAGGUUUCAAAAGGUAAGUUCUCCUUUUUGUUAAUUUUAUUAAUCUAGUGGGAUGUGCAAAGCCCACUUGUACAUUUUACAUGCACUUGUCUCAGCAUUUUAUUGUAUUACAACAAAGUUUUAUCAAAUCUUAAAAUUUAGCUUGAACUGUCUGUAAUUUCUUCAACAGUUAGACGUAUCAAGUUCAUGGUCAACUUUCUUUGCCCCUCCUCAUGAAAACCCCUUCGCCUGGAGCUUUCAUUGUGCACAACUGUCUUUAAAUAUGAGCCAUGACCACAACAUAAAGUACAGAGAACUUAGAUAACACCUUCAUGACUUUCUAGUUUCAAAUUGUGGAAUGUGCAUUUUAAUGAUAAAAUAAAAAGUCAUAAAAGAAAAUUUUAUGUUAACAGGAUUGUCAUAUUCUGGUACUACGUAUUCAGUUUCUUCCUUUGAGAUAUUUGACAUUCUUAACAUUGAAGAUGCUUUAUCUAGAAUCUAGAUUAAGUACUAUAUCAUCCAUGUUUUCUUUCAAAAAUAUAAGUCUGAAAUAAGACUAGUUGCCCUGUCACACUUUGUUCCACUUGGUAUCCAAUAUACUCAAAUAAUUAAGCCUUAAUCCCACACUAGUUGGUAUCCAAUAUACUAAACAGAAAUUGUAGUGCUCAUACCAGCAUUUUUUAUUCUUUUGGGACUUAUUAUUCUGUAGUAAACCACUUUUACAUUUGCGAUUAUAGUGCUAUUUCAAAAACUGAUUUGUUUGUGAUUUUUUGUUCUGCAUUGAACUGCCUAUCUAUUUUCAACACCACUGCCCUAUUUCCUUUUUCUUCUUGUAGGAAUUUCCUUAUGGUGUUAUAAAAGGCUGUUGCCAUAUGAAUUCUAUGUGCUUUUGCUUGUUUUUGGUGGUUAACCACACUAAUGGAAAAUCUCAUAGAUGACUGUCUUCAUAAAAUCCAUACAUGACAGUGUAUGUUAAGCAUCAUGUAGUGAUUUUGUCCCCUG
RNAcentral lists this unclassified non-coding RNA (1073 nucleotides) under Hevea brasiliensis (rubber tree). Lineage: Eukaryota; Viridiplantae; Streptophyta; Magnoliopsida; Malpighiales; Euphorbiaceae. The record is from RNAcentral.